UACGAGGGGGGCAAAUGUUGUUCGGAAUCACUGGGCGUAAAGGGAGCGUAGGCGGGCUCUUAAGUUAGGUGUUUAAUCCCGGGGCCCAACCCCGGACAGGCACCUAAAACUGGGAGUCUUGAAUAGUGGAGAGGACGGCGGAAUUGGGGGUGUAGCGGUGGAAUGCGUAGAGAUCCCCAAGAACACCAGUUGCGAAGGCGGCCGUCUGGACACAUAUUGACGCUGAGGCUCGAAAGCAUGGGGAGCAAACAGG
This 253-nucleotide ribosomal RNA is filed under the name uncultured bacterium. RNAcentral's name for it is "partial 16S ribosomal RNA". It matches the Rfam family "Bacterial small subunit ribosomal RNA", at positions 524 to 776 of the family's 1533-position model. The record is from RNAcentral. RNAcentral also lists the same sequence under 1 other name.